GGGGAGCAUCCAAUAAUUGAGAUGUUAUCUGAUACGACCUUCCUACAGAGAAGCUCUGCUUUUUUCCUACUUGUAGUGCUUGAGCAAGUUCUACGAGUCUCAGAUUGCCAGAGACAUGA
Molecule: non-coding RNA, 119 nt
Organism: Morus notabilis
Lineage: Eukaryota; Viridiplantae; Streptophyta; Magnoliopsida; Rosales; Moraceae
Source: Rfam